UACAUGUGGGGCAAGCGUUGUUCGGAAUUACUGGGCAUAAAGGGUGCGUAGGCGGUUUGUUAAGUCACAGGUGAAAGUUUCGGCCCAACCGGAAAAUUGCCUGCGAUACUGGCGAACUUGAGUGCGUGAGGGGUAGGGGAACGAGCAGUGUAGCGGUGAAAUGCGUAGAUAUUGCUCGGAAGGCCGGAGCCGAAGGGCCCUACUGGUACGUAACUGACGCUGAGGCACGAAAGCGUGGGGAGCAAACAGG
This 250-nucleotide ribosomal RNA is filed under the name uncultured bacterium. Its description in RNAcentral is "partial 16S ribosomal RNA". It matches the Rfam family "Bacterial small subunit ribosomal RNA", at positions 524 to 776 of the family's 1533-position model. The record is from RNAcentral.